CCUACGGGAGGCAGCAGUAGGGAAUCUUCCGCAAUGGACGAAAGUCUGACGGAGCAACGCCGCGUGAGUGAUGAAGGUUUUCGGAUCGUAAAACUCUGUUGUUAGGGAAGAACAAGUGCUAGUUGAAUAAGCUGGCACCUUGACGGUACCUAACCAGAAAGCCACGGCUAACUACGUGCCAGCAGCCGCGGUAAU
This 195-nucleotide ribosomal RNA is filed under the name uncultured bacterium. Its description in RNAcentral is "partial 16S ribosomal RNA". It matches the Rfam family "Bacterial small subunit ribosomal RNA", at positions 338 to 524 of the family's 1533-position model. The record is from RNAcentral.